GGCCUACCAUGGUGGUAACGGGUAACGGGGUGUUAGGGCACGACACCGGAGAGGGAGCCUGAGAAACGGCUACCACAUCCAAGGAUGGCAGCAGGCGCGCAAAUUACCCAAUCCCGACACGGGGAGGUAGUGACAAUAAAUAACAAUACGGGGUUCUUUCGGAUCUCGUAAUUGGAAUGAGUACAAUUUAAAUCUCUUAACGAGGAACAAUUGGAGGGCAAGUCUGGUGCCAGCAGCCGCGGUAAUUCCAGCUCCAAUAGCGUAUAUUAAAGUUGUUGCAGUUAAAAAGCUCGUAGUUGAAUUUCGGGGUCAGUAGGUUGGUCGUGCCACAGGUAUGAACUGGUCUCACUGAUUCCUCCCUCCUGAUGAACCGUAAUGCCAUUAAUUUGGUGUUGCGGGGAGACUGGACUGUUACUUUGAAAAAAUUAGAGUGUUUAAAGCAGGCUAACGCUUGAAUACAUUAGCAUGGAAUAAUGAAAUAGGACGUUCGGUCUUAUUUUGUUGGUUUCUAAGAUUGACGUAAUGAUUAAUAGGGAUAGUUGGGGGCAUUAGUAUUCAAUUGUCAGAGGUGAAAUUCUUGGAUUUAUUGAAGACUAACUACUGCGAAAGCAUUUGCCAAGGAUGUUUUCAUUAAUCAAGAACGAAAGUUAGGGGAUCGAAGACGAUCAGAUACCGUCGUAGUCUUAACCAUAAACUAUGCCGACUAGGGAUCGGAUGAUGUUAAUUUUUUAAUGACUCAUUCGGCGCCUUACG
RNAcentral lists this ribosomal RNA (753 nucleotides) under uncultured Glomus. RNAcentral describes it as "SSU rRNA". It matches the Rfam family "Eukaryotic small subunit ribosomal RNA", at positions 338 to 1092 of the family's 1831-position model. The record is from RNAcentral. Lineage: Eukaryota; Fungi; Glomeromycota; Glomeromycetes; Glomerales; Glomeraceae.